CCGAAGGUGGGGCUGAUGACUGGGGUGAAGUCGUAACAAGGUAGCCGUACCGGAAGGUGCGGCUGGAUCACCUCCUAA
This 78-nucleotide ribosomal RNA is filed under the name uncultured cyanobacterium. RNAcentral's name for it is "partial 16S ribosomal RNA". It matches the Rfam family "Bacterial small subunit ribosomal RNA", at positions 1456 to 1533 of the family's 1533-position model. The record is from RNAcentral. Lineage: Bacteria; Bacillati; Cyanobacteriota.